GUCCACGCCGUAAACGUUGGGCACUAGGUGUGGGGGAUUAUCAACGUCCUCCGUGCCGUAGCUAACGCAUUAAGUGCCCCGCCUGGGGAGUACGGCCGCAAGGCUAAAACUCAAAGGAAUUGACGGGGGCCCGCACAAGCGGCGGAGCAUGUUGCUUAAUUCGAUGCAACGCGAAGAACCUUACCUGGGCUUGACAUGUAGGGAAAAGCCGCAGAGAUGCGGUGUCCUUCGGGGUCCUACACAGGUGGUGCAUGGCUGUCGU
This 262-nucleotide ribosomal RNA is filed under the name uncultured bacterium. RNAcentral describes it as "partial 16S ribosomal RNA". It matches the Rfam family "Bacterial small subunit ribosomal RNA", at positions 793 to 1055 of the family's 1533-position model. The record is from RNAcentral.